This is a long non-coding RNA of Saccostrea cuccullata (small rock oyster), 1146 nucleotides long. RefSeq lists it as uncharacterized. NCBI's taxonomy places the organism in Eukaryota, Metazoa, Mollusca, Bivalvia, Ostreida, Ostreidae. The record is from RefSeq and is a predicted model, not a curated record. The transcript is spliced from 3 exons.
UUCAAGAUAACAUUUACAGAGAAUGAUGUACAUGUAAUUAAUUAUAUAUUUUGUAAUGCAUGUUCAUGACCAUUUUCAGCUCUUAUCUUGCAUGUUUCGAUUGUUUUAAUAGUUGCUGCAUUGCCUGAGAUGAUUUUCACAGCCCAGGCGUUUGAUAAAAGUGCAUAUACAUGUAGAUGCUUAACCAAUCAGUCACUAGGCUUGUGAAUAUGGAAUCUGGAUGCUCACAAGAUUUAGGACAAGAACUGUAUAAAAAAAAAAUGAAAUUGUGCAAGGAAAGUUUGAAGUGUCUCUUGGAAUGAUCAACAUCGAACUUGCUGAGCCUUCGUACUAAAAGUGAAUCCGUUGGUGACGCCAAUUAUCUGUCAACCCUCUAUUGCAAAUUUCAUGGGAUAUCUGUGAGAUAUGAUUCUAGCAACAUUUCAGAAGUUUUGUAUCUUCCACAAUUGGGAUCUUUGGCACGUACAUUGGUGGAAAAUAGCAACUGUUAAUUUUAUGGGAUCUUUGUAUCAAUGCAGUUGUGUAGUACAUAUAUUUUUGCAUUUAAUAUGUGUGUUUGUCACUCUAAUCACUAACUUUGUACAGUAAAUUUACAUGGGCCACUGGCAGUUUAUUGUAAAUGUAUAUCCUGUUGAGGUUUCAAUUACCUCUCCCAAUCCUUGGCCAAUGUCAUUUAAUGAAUCUAACCUCUUAUUUUAAAAAAAUGCAGACUUUAGUUUACUACAUACAUGUAUAUCAUAACUUGAUUAUCUUUGAUUUAACCAAGGUGAUCCCCCCAGUAAUCAUAUUUUUUCUUGGAUAUUUCUGUUAAUAACCUUUGAUGUAAAAUACUUUUAAGUUUCAUUGAGAAUACAUACAUUAAAAAAAGUGUGCUUAUAAUGUACAUCUGAGUGGUAAUACAGUACAGUACAGACAAGCGAUAUAAUUUUUUAGUUGUUAAUAAAUAUAUAAAACGUUUUUUACGAAGCUCACAAAAUUCUUUUUCCAGAAUGUUUCAUCUUCCAACAACUUGUUUAAAGUUUGAUGUUAAUGAAAAUUCGGUCGAACAAAGUUGUGUGAUGAAAAACGACAUUAUUUAAAGCACAUUAUGAUGAAUAUAACUGUUUAAUUUAAAUUAUGAAGAAACAUAAGUAAUUAAUUUGAAAA